GUGCUCUUAGUUCAGUUUGGUAGAAUGUGGGUUCCAAAACCCAAUGUCGUAGGCUCAAAUCCUACCGAACAUA
Beta vulgaris subsp. vulgaris (sugar beet) is the source of this 73-nucleotide transfer RNA. It matches the Rfam family "tRNA". From Rfam's summary of the family: Transfer RNA (tRNA) molecules are approximately 80 nucleotides in length. Their secondary structure includes four short double-helical elements and three loops (D, anti-codon, and T loops). The record is from Rfam. Lineage: Eukaryota; Viridiplantae; Streptophyta; Magnoliopsida; Caryophyllales; Amaranthaceae.